GACAGAGGGUGCAAACGUUGUUCGGAAUUACUGGGCGUAAAGCGUGUGUGGGCGGUCCGCUAAGUCGGGUGUGAAAGCCCUGGGCUCAACCCAGGAAGUGCACUCGAAACUGGCGGGCUAGAGUACUGGAGAGGUUGGUGGAAUUCUCGGUGUAGAGGUGAAAUUCGUAGAUAUCGAGAGGAACACCGGUGGCGAAGGCGGCCAACUGGACAGAUACUGACGCUGAGACACGAAAGCGUGGGGAGCAAACAGG
RNAcentral lists this ribosomal RNA (253 nucleotides) under uncultured bacterium. RNAcentral describes it as "partial 16S ribosomal RNA". It matches the Rfam family "Bacterial small subunit ribosomal RNA", at positions 524 to 776 of the family's 1533-position model. The record is from RNAcentral.